Molecule: ribosomal RNA, 1283 nt
Filed under: metagenome
Description: bacterial LSU rRNA
Rfam family: Bacterial large subunit ribosomal RNA
Source: RNAcentral
ACCGACACUGGUGCGCGAGAUGAGUAUUCUAAGGCGCUUGAGAGAACUCUGGAGAAGGAACUCGGCAAAUUGACACCGUAACUUCGGAAGAAGGUGUGCCUUUAGUAGGUGAACCAUUUACUUGGGGAGCCCAAUGAGGCCGCAGAGAAUCGGUGGCUGCGACUGUUUACUAAAAACACAGCACUCUGCAAAGACGAAAGUCGACGUAUAGGGUGUGACGCCUGCCCGGUGCUGGAAGAUUAAAUGAUGGGGUGCAAGCUCUUGAUUGAAGUCCCAGUAAACGGCGGCCGUAACAAUAACGGUCCUAAGGUAGCGAAAUUCCUUGUCGGGUAAGUUCCGACCUGCACGAAUGGCGUAACGAUGGCCACACUGUCCCCUCCAGAGACUCAGCGAAGUUGAAAUGUUUGUGAUGAUGCAAUCUCCCCGCGGAAAGACGGAAAGACCCCAUGAACCUUUACUGUAGCUUUACAUUGGACUUUGAACAGAUCUGUGUAGGAUAGGUGGGAGGCUUUGAAGCGGUGCCGCUAGGUAUCGUGGAGCCAACGUUGAAAUACCACCCUGGUGUGUUUGAGGUUCUAACCUUGGCCCGUUAUCCGGGUUGGGGACAGUGUAUGGUGGGCAGUUUGACUGGGGCGGUCUCCUCCCAAAGCGUAACGGAGGAGUUCGAAGGUACGCUAGGCACGGUCGGAAAUCGUGCUGAUAGUGCAUAGGCAUAAGCGUGCUUGACUGCGAGACGGACAUGUUGAGCAGGUACGAAAGUAGGACUAAGUGAUCCGGUGGUUCUGUAUGGAAGGGCCAUCGCUCAACGGAUAAAAGGUACUCUGGGGAUAACAGGCUGAUACCGCCCAAGAGUUCAUAUCGACGGCGGUGUUUGGCACCUCGAUGUCGGCUCAUCUCAUCCUGGGGCUGUAGCCGGUCCCAAGGGUAUGGCUGUUCGCCAUUUAAAGAGGUACGUGAGCUGGGUUUAAAACGUCGUGAGACAGUUUGGUCCCUAUCUUCCGUGGGCGCUGCAAGAUUGAGAGAGCCUGCUCCUAGUACGAGAGGACCGGAGUGGACGCACCUCUGGUGCAUCGGUUGUCACGCCAGUGGCAUAGCCGAGUAGCUAAGUGCGGAAGAGAUAACCGCUGAAAGCAUCUAAGCGGGAAACUCGUCUCAAGAUGAGUCUUGCCGGGGCCUUGAGCCCCCUGAAGAGUCGUUCGAGACCAGGACGUUGAUAGGUCGGGUGUGGAAGCGGGGUAACCCGUUAAGCUAACCGAUACUAAUUGCUCGUGCGGCUUGACCCU